This is a non-coding RNA of Meleagris gallopavo (turkey), 416 nucleotides long. The record is from RefSeq and is a predicted model, not a curated record. NCBI's taxonomy places the organism in Eukaryota, Metazoa, Chordata, Aves, Galliformes, Phasianidae.
AACAAUUCUAUGAUUCUAAGAACAACAAUGCCACCUUCCUUUCCCCCUGUCCCAGCAAUGGAGACAUGGAGCUUGCAGGUCUCUGAUGAUGAUCCUUACUGUGGAUUUAAGCUUUUUUUAAUCCCUCUCUCCACGAGGACGUAGCAGAUAGAUACCAAAAUUGAAGCGUGCUCAUAAAUCUGCAGCCCCGGCCCAUGUGAGGUGCCUUCAUCUCCCAUCUGAAGAGGUUUGCUGACAAAAUGACCAAGGUUCCUGCAGUCCAAAGGGAGCGUGCCUGGUGGGAUUGAGCUUGGCAGACUGUUUUGGCAGGGUUUGAUGCUUCAGUCGCACACCUGUAUGUCUGGCUGCGUUGACACGCGUUGCUCAGGAAGGAGCUGGUUCAAAGCUUGCUGUGCAGGUUGCUGGCUUGUUCAGCA